GAUGAACGCUGGCGGCGUGCUUAACACAUGCAAGUCGAACGGACAGGCCCUGCUUUUGCGGGUUUCUCGAGUGGCGAACAGGUGAGUAACACGUGAGUAACCUGCCCUUGACUUUGGGAUAACUUCAGGAAACUGGGGCUAAUACCCGAGAGGAUCUCCUGCUGCACGGGGUGGGUUGGAAAGUUUCGGCGGUGGUGUAUGGACUCGCGGCUUAUCAGCUUGUUGGUGGGGUAGGGGCUUACCAAGGGUUUGACGGGUAGCCGGCCUGAGAGGGUGACCGGGGACCAGGGGCCUACGAUAGGGCGCAGUAGGGUACGGGAGGCAGCAGGGGAGAGUCUUGCAGAACGGGCGGGAGCCUGAUGCAGAAGCGCCGCGUGCGGAAUGACGGCUUUCGGGUUGUAAACCGCUUUGGACGGUGACGAAGAGUGAGUGACGGUAAUGGGUAAAGAAGCCACGGCUAACUACGUG
RNAcentral lists this ribosomal RNA (468 nucleotides) under uncultured bacterium. RNAcentral's name for it is "partial 16S ribosomal RNA". It matches the Rfam family "Bacterial small subunit ribosomal RNA", at positions 28 to 507 of the family's 1533-position model. The record is from RNAcentral.